CAUCUUAUUAAUUAAGUACUGUUGUUGCAAGGGCUCUAAAGAGAAAACGAGAUCGAUGCUGGAUCGAGCUAGAGUACUGCUGAAGAUCAGGUCAUCAUAAGUCAUGAGUGAACCUAUAAUAAAAGUACUAGGACCGAUAGGAUAUUCUUCAAUUUAGGACCCUCCAAUACUCAAGUAAGCCAGAGCCUUGAGAACAGAUAAUGGAAACGAAAAAACUGAAAGGCA
This 225-nucleotide long non-coding RNA is filed under the name Elaeis guineensis (African oil palm). RNAcentral describes it as "long non-coding RNA (EGUI_LNC049947)". The record is from RNAcentral. Lineage: Eukaryota; Viridiplantae; Streptophyta; Magnoliopsida; Arecales; Arecaceae.